Strigamia maritima is the source of this 71-nucleotide transfer RNA. It matches the Rfam family "tRNA". Rfam says of the family: Transfer RNA (tRNA) molecules are approximately 80 nucleotides in length. The record is from Rfam. NCBI's taxonomy places the organism in Eukaryota, Metazoa, Arthropoda, Chilopoda, Geophilomorpha, Linotaeniidae.
UCCCAGGUAGCUUAAUGGUAAAGCAUCCAACCCGCAAUUGGGAGAUCUGGGUUCAAGUCCCGGUCCAGGCU